RNAcentral lists this small RNA (2807 nucleotides) under Oryza sativa Japonica Group (Japanese rice). Its description in RNAcentral is "sRNA Os08g0310001". The record is from RNAcentral. Lineage: Eukaryota; Viridiplantae; Streptophyta; Magnoliopsida; Poales; Poaceae.
ACUCUCUCUCCUCUCCCUCUUUCUAUUCCUCUUCCGGCGACGAGCACGAGUGGGCGGCGUGCGCGUGCCGGCAGCUGGCGGCCGCCGCAUCGUCCCCGUCGCUCGGGCUGCCCCCUCCGCAGCGGCGCUGACCCCGACGACAACGAGGAGGCGCGACCCCGGCAACGACGACGCCGACCCCGACGACGAGUGGGCGGUGACGCGGGCCUCGUCCCGCCCGGAUCCGGCGGCGGCGGGCCUCGUCACACCCGGAUCCGGCGGCGGCGGGCCUCGUCCCGCCCGGAUCCGGAGGCGGGAGUGGGCGGCGGCGGCGCGGCGGAUCCGGCUCGGGCGCGGCGUCGACGACGGUGGCGGGCGGCAGCGGCGAGGUCGGGCACGGCGGAUCCAGAGCGGUUGCGAGCGGUGGCGGCGAGCUCGGACACGACGACGACCUCGGCGACGACGACGGCGGCGGAUCCGGCUCGGGCGCGGCGACAACGACGGCGGCGGGCGGCGGCUAGCUCGGGCGCGACGACGACCUCGGCAACGACGAAGGCGGCGCACGUCGGCGAGGUUGGGCGCGACGGAUCCAGCGCGGUGGCGGGCGGCGGCGGUGAGCUCGGGUAUAUGUCCGUACUCAAGAAACUUCUAUCUAUUACAUGAUCGUGCAUUGUGCAAGAUGGUUACUUACUUGAUUUGGGGAUGAUGCAAAAUUCAACUGUGACGACUGGUUGAAAAGUACAUUAUUUUGUUUUAUGAGAUUCUUCACUAUUAUGCUUAAACUCAUGUGCAUCCAUCCUUUUGUUACAGUGAAGCUAUAUGUUGUUGCUUGAGAUUCAGCUGAUGCUACCCUGUAUCAGUACCCAAUCCAUUUUCUUUCUCUUCUCAUGUGUUACAACUUUGAUUUGUCAUUCGUGCUGCUAUACAUGUUCAUUUCCGAAGAUCUGUAGUUUAUCAGGAUGCAAUCGUGACUCGGAAAAUAUAAAGUAGAGUGUGAUUCCUUAUACAAUAAGACCCAAUCUUAGAUUCGAUGUUCACAUGCUCAUGAACCAAAUAUUAUUGGAGUUGUUGGUUUGAAUGAUAUGCACAUUGAACUGUUACUAAAAAAGCAUGUUCUAAGGGGCUGUUCUGAUUUUUUAUGUGCGACUUCAUGCAUUAUCUUUAGGAUGGUAAAUUUGUAAUGGUGAGUGAGUUUUGUUCUCAUCAGAAUCUUUAGCACCAUUUCUAUUAAAUUAGUCAUCAAUGGGUAACCUGUGUAUGCUGUUCGAUUCAUGUGCUACAACUUUGCUCGAUAGUUCUUUGUUGGUUGUCUUAGACAAUCACUGAUUUAGUCUGAAAGCAAAUGAUUUAACCUAAUCAACCGAGUUGUAUGCCGCCACAGGCAGCGCGGCAUGGCGCGCCCCAGCCUCUAGUAGGAGUCCAUGAGUAGCAUAUUUUUAAUAAAGAGAUCAAUUUGAAUAAUUAGGGAGUCUAUGAACAGAAACAUAGACCUUUAUAAUUAUAGCAUGCAUGCAAUCAUGUGCGGGCAUUUCUCAUUAACUUUCUUAGACUUAUUACUGGGAUUUUGCACAUGGCAGCUAAGGAGAAACAAUAUGAAAUGGAUGGAUUAGUUAGUUAAUUUGAGUGUGCUUGAUUUCUUUCGGUCAUUGUUCUUACUGAAAGCAAUAUUUUCUUAAUUUCUAACGGGAAAUGUACACAGUUUUGCGAAGAAGGGGGAAAAGAAGAGGAUGAGUAUGUAUUGCUAGAGUUGGAUGAUUGUCUUUAUCUGACAUAAAACCAAAUGCUCCAUAUGUGCUCUCUGUAAGUUGGUCCUCCAUUUUUUUAAUCAGUGGCUUAAUGGUACGGAUGGGCACGCUUUGAGUGUACAAAAUCUGUUUCUCUGAAUGUUUUUAAUCAGUGGCUUAAUGGUACGGAUGGGCACGCUUUGAGUGUACAAAAUCUGUUUCUCUGAAUGUUAGAUUUUAGUUGUGCAUGUAGUUCCCAGAAGUAGCUCUAAGAUUUCCUUUGUAGCAGAACGACCAACAUUAAAAAUGCCAUAUGCGCAUAGAAAUGUAGCAGUGAGCUCUGUGCUGAUUAUCUAGGAGAGCUCUUGCCAUCAGCAUUUAAAAUCGCCUAAUAGAAUUACAGAAGGACAAAGACAUAUAUGUUUCAUUUAUUUUGAAAAUAGGAACUGAACUUAAGCUCAGUUGGUUGACUUGAACUUGGAUGCCUAUUUCUUGUCUAUAAAUUGAUACUGAGAUUCUCCUUGUCAUCCAUCACCUUUUUUAUAUAUAUUUUGAGCAGCCUUUGUUGCUACAAAGUGCUACCAGUGUGUGUUAUGUGGUAGCUUUGGGGAGAAAAUAUAUAGUCUACCAUGUGAUGUGAGAAAAUGGUAUGCCAGCACAUAUUCUGCUUAUUAAUCUUUUUAAUGCCAUGAUUUAUGGACGUGAAAAUAACAAAGUUAAGUUUUUCUCCCACAUCCUUUGAUCACUGAGACGUUGGCUCAUAUCUAUUUCAAAAAGUUUGUUCACUGUCUUUAUCUCAUACUGAACACUACUGAGUUUUUCUUGUCAUGUUUUCCAGGGUAUCUGAUUCCUUCUGGUCGUCCUCGUCUUGAUCCAGAUCAAGCGUGAUCCCAAUCUGCGCGCUUACUUUCUUGGCUUGGAUUGAUUGAUUGAAAAUGUGUGUUUCUCAGGCCGCCUCCUGUUAUUAGGUUGAAUCUGAGAUGAACUAUUAUUUAAAUUCUGUUGUAUUCUGGUUGUAUCUAUUAUUAGUUGAAUCUGAUAUGGUAUCAGUUGUUAGGUUUGAAUCUGAGAUAUAUGAGAAAUUGGAUUGAAUUUGGUGGGCUC